GGUACUGGGCGCAGCCUGAUCCAGCCAUGCCGCGUGUCUGAAGAAGGCCUUCGGGUUGUAAAGGACUUUUGUUCGGGAGGAAAUCCCGCUGGUUAAUACCUGGUGGGGAUGACAGUACCGGAAGAAUAAGCACCGGCUAACUACGUGCCAGCAGCCGCGGUAAUACGUAGGGUGCAAGCGUUAAUCGGAAUUACUGGGCGUAAAGCGUGCGCAGGCGGUUGUGCAAGUCUGAUGUGAAAGCCCCGGGCUCAACCUGGGAACGGCAUUGGAGACUGCACGACUAGAGUGCGUCAGAGGGGGGUAGAAUUCCGCGUGUAGCAGUGAAAUGCGUAGAGAUGCGGAGGAAUACCGAUGGCGAAGGCAGCCCCCUGGGAUGACACUGACGCUCAUGCACGAAAGCGUGGGGAGCAAACAGGAUUAGAUACCCUGGUAGUCCACGCCCUAAACGAUGUCAACUAGCUGUUGGGGGUUUGAAUCCUUGGUAGCGUAGCUAACGCGUGAAGUUGACCGCCUGGGGAGUACGGCCGCAAGGUUAAAACUCAAGAAUUUUGCGGGA
RNAcentral lists this ribosomal RNA (556 nucleotides) under uncultured Chromobacterium sp. RNAcentral's name for it is "bacterial SSU rRNA". It matches the Rfam family "Bacterial small subunit ribosomal RNA", at positions 367 to 918 of the family's 1533-position model. The record is from RNAcentral. Lineage: Bacteria; Pseudomonadati; Pseudomonadota; Betaproteobacteria; Neisseriales; Chromobacteriaceae.